Lynx canadensis (Canada lynx) is the source of this 670-nucleotide long non-coding RNA. RefSeq lists it as uncharacterized. Lineage: Eukaryota; Metazoa; Chordata; Mammalia; Carnivora; Felidae. The record is from RefSeq and is a predicted model, not a curated record. The transcript is spliced from 4 exons.
UCUAGCCAGGAGCACCUAAGUAGAAGUAUCAUGUAUAAUGUCUAGAAAGAUCAGGCUGCCUAGAGUGUGGGCAUGAUGACUGGAUAUCCAACAGCCAUUUCAGACCAUGAGGCAGAAGCCACAUGGAAGAUGGCAGAGCAAGAGGAUAGAAGGAGCUUGACUUCCUAAUGAUGAUGGAAUUUCCUGUGAUUUUUCAGCUGAGUCUAAUGCUAACUAAAGCAACUAAAAGUUUGUCGAGAAGACUGAAAACCAUUUUGCUAAGUAGGAGUUCAUUAUAUUUAAUUAAAAAUAGGUGCUUGAAGUUACUUUUCACCAUGUCCAUCGAGACACUCACUUCUGCAUUAUGGGAUCCAGAGUAAGGGGUAAGAAAUGGGACUCUGGAGACAUAAACACAUGCAGCAAAUCCUGAAGGACUGUGGUGAGCCAGGUCCAGAAAACCCUGUGAGGAUGAACAAGUGUCACUUGAGAGCGCACGAUGCAAGCAGUGCACCGAUUGGCCGCUAAGACUGUCCAGUGUGCGGAUGCCUCCCAGAAGAUAGCAGGGCUUUGAGAAGCAGGAAGGAACUCAGCAGGGUUGAACAGCGUGGCUGGCUGGAACGGACAACCUUGCACUGAAAGCACCUAAGUGAAGGGGUGCCUGGGUGGCUCAGUCAGUUGAGCGUCUGACUUC